GCUCCCCUACCGACAAUCUUUUUUGCAGUUCUUAGAGAAGUGAAUUCCAAAACACCACAAUUAAGCAAGCCCUUCGAGCUUGCCUCUAUGAAUAUUCAUGAAGAAAUGAAUGCCGGGCUCUUUCUUUCACUGCUAACCCCAUUUUCUUAAUGCUGAUACUUUCUGUUCUAACCAACUUCAAUAAACAUGUUACCUUAAAAAAUAGCACUUCGAAUUAAAACCAGAUUUCAAACUCCUUAAAAUACUCCAAUUUGAAUUUGAAAUAGUUUAAUAGCCAAACAGAUUUAGAUAUAGCAGCAAAAAAAUAUUAAAAGAUAUUUUCCUAGCUAUAUCAAUUACGUACCAUAAAAUAUUGUAACACGUGGCAAAUUAAACCAACCUGUAUUAGCACAUAUUAGAAUAAUAUGUAACACUCCAACCUGCAGUAAAACUCCUUAAUAAACUACAUUUUGAAUUUGAAUUUUUUUUCCCAGUAAAACAGAUUACUAUAGAAACUGCUAUUUUAAUAUUAAAGUAGAUUCCUUAAUUAACCAAAUACCUUGAAAAGCUCAUUUCAAACCUGUUAUAACAUAAUAAACUAAGAGAAUAAUAUCCAGCAGAAUGAUAUAAAGGAUAACACUAAUAUCUCCAAGGACCAAAAUAAGACUGAUAUCUUUUAGAGGCCCAAAAUAAUAUCAUACUCAGAAAACCAUUAUAAGGAAAAUCCAAACAAAAUAAAUUCAGUCCAUUUAAAAACAACUUACUGCUAAACAUAUAUUAACAUCAUUAAAACAUAGAAUAUAAAAACCAACAUUCUCGAUCCCCUUUUUGAUGAUGACAAAGGGGGAGAGAUAUUUGUUAUUUGAAUUGGUUUUCAUGUUGGUAGUGAGAUACUAUAUUGUGUUGCUGGAAUAUGCAAUGAUGGUUAUUUGGAUCAAGUUAUUUUUUGCUCCUUGAUAUGAAUAUAUUUAGAGGGAGUAUGUUGUUUAUGUAUCGUCGCCAUCAAAAAGGGGGAGAAUGUUAGUAUAUAUACUUUGUGGUUUUAAUGAUGACAAUGCAUACAUGGGCUAAAUUGAGAUUGUAUUGCUUUAUAACUUGAUUGGGUCAUGUUAAUUCAAAUAUAGUUAUGCAUGUUAAAUAUGGUAUGGAUUGCAUGGUUUUUGUAUUGGGCUGAUAUGGUAGGAAUAUGUGUGUAUUAUGGACUAAUUGGGCUGAUCCAUAAAGUGAGUUGUUAAAUUUUAGCAGGUUUGAUUUUGUUUCUAAUAUAUAUAUAUUGCCAAGUAAGCUUUUCAAUUAUAGAAUCUUAAGGAAGUCUUCUUUAUAUAGAAGUUUGUUUGGCAUAUUUUAAGGAAUCCAAUAUUAUUGGGAUUUUUUUCUUUAAUAUAUGUGUUGAUAUAUUGGGUUAUAUAUCUUUGUUAAUCUGUUUUGAUAUGAAGACCGAUUCGAAUAUAAAUUGGAGCAUUUUAAGGAGCUUGAGAUUUGGUUUUUGAAUUCAAAAUAUAAGGUAACAGAUUGUUGCAGUUGGAAUCUAAGUCUUAUCAUUAUUAUUCUUUAUUAGC
This 1538-nucleotide long non-coding RNA is filed under the name Panax ginseng (ginseng). Its description in RNAcentral is "long non-coding RNA (PGIN_LNC003594)". Lineage: Eukaryota; Viridiplantae; Streptophyta; Magnoliopsida; Apiales; Araliaceae. The record is from RNAcentral.